This 253-nucleotide ribosomal RNA is filed under the name uncultured bacterium. RNAcentral describes it as "partial 16S ribosomal RNA". It matches the Rfam family "Bacterial small subunit ribosomal RNA", at positions 524 to 776 of the family's 1533-position model. The record is from RNAcentral.
UACGUAGGGUGCAAGCGUUAAUCGGAAUUACUGGGCGUAAAGCGAGCGCAGACGGUUAUUUAAGCCAGAUGUGAAAUCCCCGAGCUUAACUUGGGACGUGCAUUUGGAACUGGAUAGCUAGAGUGUGUCAGAGGGAGGUAGAAUUCCACGUGUAGCAGUGAAAUGCGUAGAGAUGUGGAGGAAUACCGAUGGCGAAGGCAGCCUCCUGGGAUAACACUGACGUUCAUGCUCGAAAGCGUGGGUAGCAAACAGG